GGAGGGAACGCUGCUCCUGGAGUGGUGGGCAGCUGUUGGGAGCUGCUCAGGCUGGAGCCACGGGAUUUUAAAGGACCUGUCUCUGUCAUUUUUACUUUUAGGAUUUUGGCCAAAUUGGGCGAGGGUACAAUAUUACCACUUACCCCUUCUCACCGAGGAAGAGCGGGAGAAAGGGUAAGUAUGGCACAGUCACAAGGCUGGGUGCGAAGAUGCUUCAAGGCCUUUUGCAAAGGCUUCUUUGUGGCGGUGCCUGUGGCAGUCACUUUCUUGGAUCGGGUGGUCUGUGUGGCUCGAGUGGAGGGAUCGUCGAUGCAGCCUUCUUUGAAUCCUGGGGGAAGCCAGUCCUCAGAUGUGGUACUUCUGAACCACUGGAAAGUGAGGAAUUUUGAAGUACAGCGUGGUGACAUUGUGUCAUUGGUGU
This 421-nucleotide long non-coding RNA is filed under the name Rattus norvegicus (Norway rat). RNAcentral's name for it is "long non-coding RNA NONRATT024257". The record is from RNAcentral. Lineage: Eukaryota; Metazoa; Chordata; Mammalia; Rodentia; Muridae.